This 396-nucleotide ribosomal RNA is filed under the name uncultured bacterium. RNAcentral's name for it is "partial 16S ribosomal RNA". It matches the Rfam family "Bacterial small subunit ribosomal RNA", at positions 523 to 918 of the family's 1533-position model. The record is from RNAcentral.
AUACGUAGGUGGCAAGCGUUGUCCGGAAUUAUUGGGCGUAAAGCGCAUGUAGGCGGCGUGUUAAGUCUGUCGUGAAACUGCGGGGCUCAGCCCCGUAUGGCGAUGGAAACUGAUGUGCUUGAGUGCAGGAGAGGAAAGGGGAACUCCCAGUGUAGCGGUGAAAUGCGUAGAUAUUGGGAAGAACACCGGCGGCGAAGGCGCCUUUCUGGACUGUGUCUGACGCUGAGAUGCGAAAGCCAGGGUAGCGAACGGGAUUAGAUACCCCGGUAGUCCUGGCCGUAAACGAUGGGUACUAGGUGUGGGAGGUAUCGACCCCUUCCGUGCCGGAGUUAACGCAAUAAGUACCCCGCCUGGGGAGUACGGCCGCAAGGCUUAAACUCAAAGGAAUUGACGGGG